Molecule: ribosomal RNA, 253 nt
Filed under: uncultured bacterium
Lineage: Bacteria
Description: partial 16S ribosomal RNA
Rfam family: Bacterial small subunit ribosomal RNA
Source: RNAcentral
UACGUAGGGAGCAAGCGUUGUUCGGAUUUACUGGGCGUAAGGGGCGCGUAGGCGGCGCGGUAAGUCACUUGUGAAAUCUCUGAGCUUAACUCAGAACGGCCAAGUGAUACUGCAGUGCUAGAGUGCAGAAGGGGCAAUCGGAAUUCUUGGUGUAGCGGUGAAAUGCGUAGAUAUCAGGAGGAAUACCGAUGGCGAAGGCAGGUCUCUGGGCUGACACUGACGCUCAUGCACGAAAGCGUGGGGAGCAAACAGG